UAUUUUGGUUGUUUUGCCACCCACCAGCGGCACACUGAGCCCCAGCCACGGUCGUCGUCGGUUCGUCUCCUCGACCGUUCUGAUGUGCCUUAUUUUUACUCGUGUUGAUAUUUUCGUUCAUUUUUGGUUAUUUUUACGAGCGCAGUUGAGUUGAGAGUAUAGAACUGCAGCAGCAGCAACGAUAAAAUUAAUUAAUUUAGUGUAGUUUUUUUUUAUUUUUAAACUUUGUUUGUUUGUGAUUGCUUUUUGUUUGUUUGCUUUAUGCAACUUGGGAGGCUGGUCCAAUGGUGUGCAAUCCGUGCUAAUACCGAAAAUAGUGAGCUGAUUCCUUACUAUCAGCUGCUGUUGUUAGCGUUGUCACAAUUAUUCGAAUGAAAAGCGAAACUAUCGAACCCACCGGAAGCGGACAAAAAUCGACGGAAGGGAUACAACGAUGGCCUUACCGGUAUUUUUGGUUGCGGCGGCCCACUGCAUGUACGCACCUUUCACCAAGGUAGAGGAGAGUUUUAACCUACAAGCAAUCCAUGACCUGUUGUACCACCGAUUGAACAUUUCCGAGUACGAUCACCUGGAAUUCCCGGGCGUUGUGCCACGUAGUUUUCUUGGUCCACUGUUUAUCACGUUCCUCGUGACACCGGUUGCCACGCUGCUAGACGUGCUUGAAGUUAAUAAAUUUUGGAUGCAAUAUGUCGUUCGCUUCGCCCUGGCCGGAACGGUGAUUUUCGCCUGGGACAAGCUGCGUGUCACACUGCAGAAGCGGCUAGGGGCAGCCGUUUCCCUGUGGUACAUUCUGAUCACCAUCACUCAGUUCCACUUCAUGUUCUACAUGAGCCGUCCACUGCCGAACAUCAUGGCGCUGCCGCUGGUGCUACUGGCCAUCAACUAUUGGCUGACGCGAAGCAUAAAGUUUUUCCUUAUCUGUUCCGGAGCGGCAAUCAUAAUCUUCCGAGCGGAGCUCGCCAUGCUGCUUGGACUGUAUCUGCUGUAUGACCUGUACUACCAGCGAGUGAAGCUGGAUGUAGUGCUGAGGGUGGCCAUCCCUGCGGGAAUUCUGUUUAUACUGCUAACAGUCAUUGUUGACAGUUUAUUCUGGCAGCGCGUACUCUGGCCCGAAGUGGAGGUUUUUUGGUUCAAUACGGUUCAAAACAAGAGCUCGGAAUACGGCACCUCGCCCUUCUUGUGGUACAUUUAUUCGGCCCUACCCCGGGCCAUGGGUUUGUCACUGUUGUUCGUGCCAUUCGGACUUGCCUUGGAAUCGCGCGUACGUGCACUUGUCAUUCCGGGGGUGGUAUUUGUUUUGCUCUUCUCGCUGCUACCGCACAAAGAGCUGCGCUUUAUUAUCUACGUGUUUCCGCUGCUAAAUGUGGCCGCUGCCUGUGCCUGCAGUAGAAUAUGGCACAAUCGACAAAAGACAUUUUUCCAUAAGUUCUUAUCGUUCGCCGCGCUGGGUCAUCUGCUGGGUAAUGCUUUUUUAACCAUGUUCCUGCUGCUGGUGGCGGGUACAAACUAUCCUGGCGGAAUCGCUAUUUCGAGAUUUCACCGCAUGGCAGCAGGGGAAACGGGCAUCUCCGUUCAUAUCGACAACCUGGCAGCGCAGAGUGGCGUUUCCCGUUUUCUACAGGUCCAUUCGGAUUGGAUCUACAGCAAAGAGGAGCACCUACUUCCGGGUGAUCUGCGGUUGCAUCGGUUCGACUACUUGCUGACAGAAGCCCGGGACAAGUACUCGGGCGAAAUGCGGCUGCUGGAACAGACGCACGAGGUGCGGGAGUUUGUCGAGUGCUUCAACAGCAUCGGACUUCAAUAUCGAUCGGUUCUGCCGGUUAAGAUUCGCACUAAGCCGUGCUUGUUUAUCAUGCAACGACGACCGGAGGCAAUAACGGAGGACCGCAGCCGCAUUCAGCUGAACUUCGACGAGGUACUCGAGAAGGACAACAUCGGUGGCAGUGGGGCACUCAGUGAUCCGGAGUUUCCACCGAUUGAACUCAUCGGUGGGGUUGAUGAAGAAAAUGACAACGAAAAUGAGGAAGACGAACCAGGAGAAGAUGCUGAAAAGGAAGAGCCAGAUGACGAGCAAGAGCCGGUAAUUGAGCAACCGGAAAAGAAACUUCCCCGGUUGAGAAAGAUCCGACCGAAGGAGGCACCACCUCCGAAAAUCUCACGACCAACAGCGCGGUCGAUGUCCAAAGGACGACUGCGGAUACGACAAAUACUGGAAGAAAAUGCUCACCUCCUGCAGGAGGAUGAGGACGAUGAAACGCAGGAGGAAAAGCGUGCCAAAGUGGCUUCCUAUUUGCAGCGCGCGACGACGUCCAAGCUGAGGACGGCUCAGCGCAUUAUCAAGGAAGAAAAGCUGAAACAACUGACCAGCGAGUUGAGUAAGCUGGAUUUCAGCGAUCUCUGCGAUCUCGAUCGGAUGUCCUCGCGGGAAUGCUUGAAGAUGAUAAUCGACGAUCAGUACGGGGAAGUUGGAGACGAAUCGGACGACGAUGACGAAUAAGAAUUGUUAGACACAUUUCGUAGGUGGCUGUUGGAUUGUUCACGAUCUGCUUCUUCUUUUUCAAAAUGCAGCUAACCGAAUUAAGGUUUAUCCAGAAAUUCUGUGCGGGCUCGCCGACUUGGGUACCACAUCAAUAUUCAGCCGCCCCAUCUCCCCGAACGAUCGCUCCGAGUAGUGGUUGACGCCAGAUCCGUCCAGAACACCGUGUCUUCGCGCUUUUGGUGUUUCUUCUUCGCAACUUCCGACAGGCACUGCGUACUAUAUAUUUUCCCGUUCACGGCCAGUCCGGAGCGAUGGAAGGGCGGCUUUGACAACAUCUGCUUGCUGAUUAUCAAGUUCAGCAGCACCUUCUUGCGUCCACAAAGUGCCGCACGAUAUCCGUUUUCACACUUCUGAAUGGGUUAGGCUCACUGCUUUCGCCAUCACGGUUAGAGUUCCACUGAUAGAACUGUUAAAUUUAUCUGCUGACUCAUGGGUUACUAUGAUUGCUAUGAUUGCUGCAUAGGUAGUUUCGUAAGUGCGUGUGAAGGUAAAUCCAUGAGAAAUUGGUAAAUUUUGUCCAUCGUUUUUAAUGUAAACUAUAUAAUAACAAAGAACAAAACAAAAAGUAAUAAUGGUGAAAAUAUCAGAAGAAUAAUUUAAAAUCACGAAAGUGUUAUAAAAGGUAAAAACGAAUAAUAAGAGAAGAAAAUAUUUAAAAAAAUAUGAAUGAAGAUAUAUGUAGAAAAAAACAACAAAUUGGGGAGAAAAUCAUAGGCUAAGCAAAACCUUCCGAAACAUCAAGGUAAUCAAAAGAAAAUUAAGCUUUUUUAUGGUUUUCCAGUUUCUUUUGGGCUGCUACAUUUUUUGUCAUCAUGUUUUAUGUUUUAUGGUAAAACAUAGAGAAAAACGUUUAAAAAAAAGUAUUAAAAAAAAUCUGUAGUAAACAAUCUUGUUGUAAAAAAAGAACAGUAAAAAGAUUAGUAGAAAAAAAGUAGUGAAGAGAUGGAAAUAAGAGAUCAAACAAAGUGAGAGAAAAAUAUGAAGAGAAAAGUAAAAAAAAGAAGAAAAAAUAUUGAGGGAUUAUUUUAUUUAAUAGAACGCAAUACGAAGAGAAAAAAUAAGACAUAAAUUAAUAUGAAAACAAGGAAGUCUAGGAAGAGAAAAAAAGUAAAUAGAAAAGCACACAUAGAGAUAAAAUAAGUAAUGGGAAAACAAUAGAACGAAUUUUGUUCCUUUAAAAUCCACUUCAUUUAGAUCUUCAAAUCCCUUAAUGCAGUUGAUCCUAUUGAUAUUACUGUUAAAUUAACUACAUAUAUUUACUCUUUGGAUAGAGGAAAAUGGACCAUUUGGGGAGAAACUUAAAACAAGAAAAGAAAAAAAAAGAUGUGAAAAUCGAUAGAACACAAUAAAAAUGCUGAGCCAGAAACAAUGAUGUAAAAAAGUUCGGUUGGAUAAAUCGAAUAAAAAUGUGAGAAACAAUCAAAAAAUAUUGUGUGAUUGUCAAAACGGAGAAAAUAAAACAAUAAGAAAAGUUGCAACAGAAAAAAAUGAAAACAGCUCGAAAAAAAGGAAGAGAACAAAAUAAAACAAAAGAAUAUGGACAGAGGAAAAAUUCAAAAGGGAAAAAAAAUUUCGAAAAAGUAAAGUGGAUUAUCCGAGUAGUUCAAAUCGAUAUUGGAGUGGUUUUGCUCGGUUGAUAACAAAAGAUCCUCGCUAGUGCUGAUUAAGACUGGGGAAAAGCUAGAAAAAAAUACUGAAAUGCUUAGUGGAUAUCUUAAAAUUUUUAUUUUCAUAUUGUUCACUUUGCACAUAAAAACGUAACGAACAGUAGAUUUUCGCUCUUCAACUAGUGAAUGUGUGUAUGUAAUGUGUUUGUGUGAGUCUCUUCACAUCCAAUUUGCUGAACGACUACCUCUACUAACUUUAUUGACUAUGUAAGUUUUGUUUUCUUUUCUUCCUAAUCUUUGUUCUGAUUACAUUACAUUCUGAUUACAUUAGAGAAAGAUUUUCCUAAGCGUCGAAAAUCAGCAAAUGUUAAAACUUCAUCACAACAAUUGUCUGUAUCCGUGUUAUAGAACCAACAUCGUGUAGGCGAAUAAAAACUUCUUGAAAUGUAACGAAA
Molecule: RNA transcript, 4601 nt
Organism: Wyeomyia smithii (pitcher-plant mosquito)
Lineage: Eukaryota; Metazoa; Arthropoda; Insecta; Diptera; Culicidae
Gene: Alg12
Gene name: probable Dol-P-Man:Man(7)GlcNAc(2)-PP-Dol alpha-1,6-mannosyltransferase
Exons: 8
Source: RefSeq, a predicted model, not a curated record